AUGGUAAGCGUGCGAGCCCUAGAGCGUAUCGAGGCAUUAUCGGAUCAUGCACCCAUCAUUCUGGAUUCUAACUCUACGAACCCAGCAGCCCGUCGCCCUUUCAAAUUUGAAUUGGGAUGGCUGCAUCGGGAGAAUGUUUGGGAGAGGCCCGCCAUUGGUCGCACACCUAUUUUGAGAUGGAACUUUAAAAUAAGGGCCAUAAGGCAACACCUCACUGGAUGGGCGAAACACACCAACAGGAUAUAUAAAAAGGAAAAACAACGGCUCUCUACCAUUAUUGACGACCUCGACAAGAUUGCAGAGACACGCACCUUAUCUCAACAAGAUAUUGAAUUAAAAAAUCAAUCUAAUGAGAAGGUCGCCUGUCUUUUGCGAGAAGAGGAGAUCAAAUACUAA
RNAcentral lists this ribosomal RNA (396 nucleotides) under Triticum aestivum (bread wheat). RNAcentral's name for it is "partial small subunit ribosomal RNA". Lineage: Eukaryota; Viridiplantae; Streptophyta; Magnoliopsida; Poales; Poaceae. The record is from RNAcentral.